RNAcentral lists this ribosomal RNA (492 nucleotides) under uncultured bacterium. RNAcentral describes it as "partial 16S ribosomal RNA". It matches the Rfam family "Bacterial small subunit ribosomal RNA", at positions 29 to 507 of the family's 1533-position model. The record is from RNAcentral.
AGUGAACGCUGGCGGUAGGCCUAAUACAUGCAAGUCGAACGGCAGCACAGUAAGAGCUUGCUCUUACGGGUGGCGAGUGGCGGACGGGUGAGGAAUACAUCGGAAUCUACUUUUUCGUGGGGGAUAACGUAGGGAAACUUACGCUAAUACCGCAUACGACCUACGGGUGAAAGCAGGGGAUCUUCGGACCUUGCGCGAUUGAAUGAGCCGAUGUCGGAUUAGCUAGUUGGCGGGGUAAAGGCCCACCAAGGCGACGAUCCGUAGCUGGUCUGAGAGGAUGAUCAGCCACACUGGAACUGAGAGACGGUCCAGACUCCUACGGGAGGCAGCAGUGGGGAAUAUUGGACAAUGGGCGCAAGCCUGAUCCAGCCAUACCGCGUGGGUGAAGAAGGCCUUCGGGUUGUAAAGCCCUUUUGUUGGGAAAGAAAAGCAGCAGGUUAAUACCCCGCUGUUCUGACGGUACCCAAAGAAUAAGCACCGGCUAACUUCGUG